Molecule: long non-coding RNA, 1242 nt
Filed under: Cyanistes caeruleus (blue tit)
Lineage: Eukaryota; Metazoa; Chordata; Aves; Passeriformes; Paridae
Description: lncRNA (ENSCCEG00000005272.1)
Source: RNAcentral
CUUUUCCACUCAGGCUGCUGGGCCACUGGCCCAGGCUGGGCACAGAGGCUGGGGAUGCUCCAUCCUUGGCAACAUCCAAGGCCAGCUGGGAGCAGGGCUCUGAGCAACCUGUUCUGGGGGAAGAUUGCUCAGCUUGGAACAAGAUGGUCUUUAGGGUCCCUUCCAAGCCCAAGCACCCAGGGAUUCCAUCAUUCUAGCAUCUCCCUUGUCCACUUCAGCCUGGGCCUGGGCUCCUGGCACUGAUGUCACAGUGCACGCUCCAGCUAGAACUUCCAGCAUCCAGCAACGGCCACAACACAACCCUUGGCUCCUUGUGUCAGCACGCUCUUCACCCUGCUCCAGGCCUACCCCUGUCACCUUGUUGUCACCUGCUCCCUCAUACCCCCAGCAGUCCCAAAAGCUCCCCGUUGAGUGCAUUUUGCUCUCCAUCCCUGCAGGAUGUCUGCAUUUGCUCCAAAGAAGGCUGUCACAGACACAGAGGAGGAGAUGGAGAUGGAUACACAGAUGGAUACGGACGAGAAAAUGGAAGUGGAUGGAGAGAACACCGGAGAGGAAGAGAUGGAUGUGGAUGUGGAUGUGACAGAGGAAGAAAUGGAGGUGGACGUGAAAGACAAUAUUGAGGAGAUGGAUAUUGAUAUGGAAGACGAGGAGGAGGACAUGGUGUUGGGAUGAAGACCGAUGCCAGCUGCAGAACAGGCAGGUGCUCCCCACAGGCAGAGUGGGUCCCCUGCUGCCAGCCUGGGGCUGGGCUGGGCACUCCCUGCUCAGGGACACGCUAGCCCAUGCACUGGAUUCUGCUGGCCAUCCCUGGCCUGGCCUGGGCUUGCUUUGGGCCACACAAGCCCUGUUCCAGUGCCUGGGCCACAGCCCCCAGCCCCAGCCAGCCUCACUUCUGGCAGCAGAGUCCCACUGUGCCAGCGUCCCAGCCUGGCAGCACAUGGAACACCCCUCCAUGUCUGACUGCACUGACUGUGCUACUUGUUUUUCUUCCAGGACUGAGGCACAUCCUGGACACAGAUGCCACCCUGCUGUAUAUACGUUUUGUUGUUGUGUUCUGAUAGAUGUUUUAGGGUUUGCUUAAGUGUUCUGUAAAUACGUUUCAUGUAGUUUUGUUAGAUAUGUUCUUAGGUAAAUAGGUUCUAUAGUUUGUUGUUGUUGUUACCAAUAUUCUUACAAUGUAAAUAUGUUGUGUAGUUCAUUCUUGUUCCUUUUCUUCUACAAAUAAACAUUCUUUGUUUUUCA